GUGCUUUCAUCAGCAGUCCAUAUAGGUAAAUUAUAAUGAUAUACUGAAGAUUAACAUGGCCCCUUUACAAGAAUGGCACACUAAUUUGUGAAGCAUUACAUUAAAAA
This is a small nuclear RNA of Monodelphis domestica (gray short-tailed opossum), 107 nucleotides long. The record is from Ensembl. Lineage: Eukaryota; Metazoa; Chordata; Mammalia; Didelphimorphia; Didelphidae.